This 490-nucleotide ribosomal RNA is filed under the name uncultured bacterium. Its description in RNAcentral is "partial 16S ribosomal RNA". It matches the Rfam family "Bacterial small subunit ribosomal RNA", at positions 30 to 507 of the family's 1533-position model. The record is from RNAcentral.
AUUGAACGCUGGCGGCAGGCCUAACACAUGCAAGUCGAACGGUAACAGGAAGAAGCUUGCUUCUUUGCUGACGAGUGGCGGACGGGUGAGUAAUGUCUGGGAAACUGCCUGAUGGAGGGGGAUAACUACUGGAAACGGUAGCUAAUACCGCAUAACGUCGCAAGACCAAAGAGGGGGACCUUCGGGCCUCUUGCCAUCGGAUGUGCCCAGAUGGGAUUAGCUUGUUGGUGGAGUAACGGCUCACCAAGGCGACGAUCCCUAGCUGGUCUGAGAGGAUGACCAGCCACACUGGAACUGAGACACGGUCCAGACUCCUACGGGAGGCAGCAGUGGGGAAUAUUGCACAAUGGGCGCAAGCCUGAUGCAGCCAUGCCGCGUGUAUGAAGAAGGCCUUCGGGUUGUAAAGUACUUUCAGCGGGGAGGAAGGGAGUAAAGUUAAUACCUUUGCUCAUUGACGUUACCCGCAGAAGAAGCACCGGCUAACUCCGUG